This 253-nucleotide ribosomal RNA is filed under the name uncultured prokaryote. Its description in RNAcentral is "partial 16S ribosomal RNA". It matches the Rfam family "Bacterial small subunit ribosomal RNA", at positions 525 to 777 of the family's 1533-position model. The record is from RNAcentral.
ACGUAGGUGGCAAGCGUUGUCCGGAAUUAUUGGGCGUAAAGCGCGCGCAGGCGGUUUCUUAAGUCUGAUGUGAAAGCCCACGGCUCAACCGUGGAGGGUCAUUGGAAACUGGGAGACUUGAGUGCAGAAGAGAAGAGCGGAAUUCCACGUGUAGCGGUGAGAUGCGUAGAGAUGUGGAGGAACACCAGUGGCGAAGGCGGCUCUUUGGUUUGUAACUGACGCUGAGGCGCGAAAGCGUGGGGAGCGAACAGGA